Oikopleura dioica is the source of this 45-nucleotide non-coding RNA. The record is from Rfam. Lineage: Eukaryota; Metazoa; Chordata; Appendicularia; Copelata; Oikopleuridae.
AAGCCGGCCCUUUUCAGGGCCACAAAAUGAAACUUUGUAAUAUUU